UACAGAGGUGGCAAGCGUUGUUCGGAAUUACUGGGCGUAAAGGGCGCGUAGGCGGCCAUCUAAGUCAGACGUGAAAUCCCCCGGCCUAACCUGGGAACUGCGUCUGAUACUGGACGGCUCGAGUAUGGGAGAGGGAUGUAGAAUUUCAGGUGUAGCGGUGAAAUGCGUAGAUAUCUGGAGGAAUACCGGUGGCGAAGGCGGCAUCCUGGACCAUUUACUGACGCUGAGGCGCGAAAGCUAGGGGAGCAAACGGG
This 254-nucleotide ribosomal RNA is filed under the name uncultured bacterium. Its description in RNAcentral is "partial 16S ribosomal RNA". It matches the Rfam family "Bacterial small subunit ribosomal RNA", at positions 524 to 776 of the family's 1533-position model. The record is from RNAcentral.